This 148-nucleotide non-coding RNA is filed under the name Pan troglodytes (chimpanzee). The record is from Rfam by way of RNAcentral. Lineage: Eukaryota; Metazoa; Chordata; Mammalia; Primates; Hominidae.
GCCGGGCAUGCUGGUGCAUGCCUGUAAUCCCAGCUACUCAGGAGGCUGAGGCAGGAGAAUCGCUUGAACCCGGGAGGUGGAGGUUGCAGUGAGCCAAGAUUGCACCACUGCACUCCAGCCUGGGCGACAGAGCGAGACUCCGUCUCAA